This 645-nucleotide unclassified non-coding RNA is filed under the name Hevea brasiliensis (rubber tree). Lineage: Eukaryota; Viridiplantae; Streptophyta; Magnoliopsida; Malpighiales; Euphorbiaceae. The record is from RNAcentral.
UAUACUCAUUUGGGAUUUUACUUCUAGAAGUUCUGACAGGCCGCCGUCCUGUGGAACUGAAGAGACCUGCCAAUGAGCGGGUGACACUUAGAUGGGCCUUCAGAAAGUAUAAUGAAGGAACUGUGGUGGAUAUGGUGGAUCCAUUAUUGGAAGAAAAAGUAGAUGGGGAGGUACUCAUGAAAUUGUUUGCUUUGGCAAUCCAGUGUGCUGCACCCAUUCGCACUGAUCGACCAGACAUGAAAACAGUCGGAGAGCAGCUGUGGGCAAUAAGGGCAGACUAUAUGAGAAGUGCAAAGCGUGCUUAAAAAAGAAAAAAAAAAUAUGAAUGGCCUCCUCAUAUUAGUACAAUUAGCUUGAACUUGGGACCUAUUGCCGUAGUCACUGAGCUAAAACUUAUUGGUGGCCUCCUCAUAUUCUAUUGUGCUCUUUUUAUCACAUUUUCAAACUCCAUUUGAAUGUUGAUACAAAAGUUACUUCAAUCUUGGCCCAAUAAUCUUGCUUCACUAUUUAUCCUUUUUAGAACGUAACUGGCAUCUUGGAUGCUUUUUGUAUUUUAACUUGUUAUGUAACAAGAAGUCCUGUUAUGAAAUGAGACAAAUGUAUAAAGAUGAAGCUCAUUUCAUAACAGGACUUCUUGUUACAUAA